Molecule: antisense RNA, 75 nt
Filed under: Streptomyces albus subsp. albus DSM 41398
Lineage: Bacteria; Bacillati; Actinomycetota; Actinomycetes; Kitasatosporales; Streptomycetaceae
Description: ASpks TB sRNA
Rfam family: ASpks TB sRNA
Source: Rfam by way of RNAcentral
CUUGAUGGAGCCGAGCCACAGCGGCCGGUCGCUCUCGCGCUGCUGCCCGUAGGUGGCGAGCAGGGCCUGCGCCUC